Molecule: transfer RNA, 90 nt
Filed under: Omnitrophica bacterium RIFCSPLOWO2_12_FULL_50_11
Lineage: Bacteria; Pseudomonadati; Candidatus Omnitrophota
Description: tRNA-Ser
Rfam family: tRNA
About the family: Transfer RNA (tRNA) molecules are approximately 80 nucleotides in length. Their secondary structure includes four short double-helical elements and three loops (D, anti-codon, and T loops).
Source: RNAcentral
GGAGGAGUGCCAGAGCCUGGUUGAAUGGGGCGGUCUCGAAAACCGCUUGGGUCCUUGUGGCCCACGUAGGUUCGAAUCCUACCUCCUCCG